RNAcentral lists this ribosomal RNA (440 nucleotides) under uncultured bacterium. RNAcentral describes it as "partial 16S ribosomal RNA". It matches the Rfam family "Bacterial small subunit ribosomal RNA", at positions 338 to 795 of the family's 1533-position model. The record is from RNAcentral.
CCUACGGGUGGCUGCAGUAGGGAAUAUUGCUCAAUGGGCGAAACCCUGAAGCAGCAACGCCGCGUGGAGGAUGAAGGUUUUCGGAUUGUAAACUCCUUUUGUUAGAGAAGAUAAUGCAGGUAUCUAACGAAUAAGCACCGGCUAACUCCGUGACAGGAGCCGCGGUCAUACGGAGGGUGAGAGCCUUACUCGGAAUCACUGGGCGGAAAGAGCGCGUAGGUUGGAUAGCAAGUCAGAUGUGAAAUCCUAGGGCUUAACCAUAGAACUGCAUUUGAAACUGUUAGACUGGAGUAUGUGAGAGGUAGGUGGAAUUCUUGGUGUAGGGGUAAAAUCCGUAGAGAUCAAGAGGAAUACUCAUGGCGAAGGCGACCUGCUAGAACAUAACUGACGCUGAUGCGCGAAAGCGUGGGGAGCAAACAGGAUUAGAUACCCGUGUAGUC